Long non-coding RNA from Thamnophis elegans (Western terrestrial garter snake), 1431 nucleotides. RefSeq lists it as uncharacterized. Lineage: Eukaryota; Metazoa; Chordata; Lepidosauria; Squamata; Natricidae. The record is from RefSeq and is a predicted model, not a curated record. The transcript has 2 exons.
ACUGCUGUGCGGGGGUUUCUUUCCACGUGCGCGGCCGCGCAGCCGCGCACCUUAGAGGGAACAGUGGUGCUCUGUCAGUUCACCAAGCACAGGAGUUCCUUGUCUAUGGGGAUUUGUCAGUCAUCCAGGUCAUGGCUGUCCCAAAGGUGGUUUUUUUCAAGAGGCAACUGGACUUUCUUGAUUUUCAGAAAGUCCAGCUGCCUCUUCAAAAAGCACUUUUGGUGUUUUUGCAUUGCUUUGGAGUGGUCAAGGGACAUGAUUGCUCACUGAUAGUAAGAUCUUAAAAAAGGAGGUAGGGGGGUGGAUCCAAUUUUCUUUAAUUUUCUUUCAUGAUAAUAAAACUUAGUAACAUGGCACCAUGCUUGAAGUUUAUUUAGGUAUCUGUGUCAUGUACUAAUUUUCUUGUGGUCCUGAUAAGCUUGGGAGCCUUGAACCUGGCUUCCUUAUAUAAUUUGUUAAUUUGUCACUUUAGCUCGGCAUUUUGUAGCCCAAAUAUGCCCACCCACUUUCUAGAGACCUUAAAUGAUCUCUUAACUAAAGGGUUUCACUUUAUGAGUAAGAGUUGGCUGCUGAUAGUUAUUAUUGCAUAUUAACUAUUUUAAUUCCUCAAAGUGUUCUGACAUCCUGCCUGAUUUGUAACUCCGGCUUGCAGGUAUUUCUAAUCUAAUGAUUGAUAUUUAGAGCAGCUUUUUGGAAGUAAAUAAGCUUUUUGUAUUUUUGUACAGGUAAUUCUUGACUUACAACAGUUCAUUUAGUAACCAAAGUUACAAUGGCACUGAAAAAAGUGACUUAUGACCGUUUUUCACACUUACGACUGUUGCAGCAUCUCCAUGGUCACAAGAGGCGAGGUGAAGCACCCCUCAACGUGUUUGAUGUCGAGUGGCCAUGUCAACCCAAUCACAUGACCACUCAGCCACGCCUACUCAGCUGGUCAUUAGGGCAGAGAACCGGUUGCUAAAUUAUUUGAAUCUCACCACUGGGAGUGUUGCUUGAGGGGAGGGAAGUGAUAAUGACACUUACCUUGGGAUGUCAGAGGAAUGACAAAGGUUACACAUUGCAUCAUUUAUUUGUACAAGUGUCAUGAAGCAGGCUUUAUUGUAUAGCUAGCAUUGUGUGUCUAUCUGAUGCAAGUGUAGUGUCUCCUUUAGAUGACUUCUCCAAUGCUUCCUCAGAGGCCAGCUCGGGGGAGAAGGAGAACAUUGCAUGGAUGAGAUAAAUGACUUACUCCUGUUCUCCGAAACUGUUUAGAUUAAGGUAGAAUUUCCUAACUGCUGCUUUUAAAGAAAAUUUAAAUAAAAAAGAGUCUGUUUUCACUUUAGCUACCUAACGUUUGUCAUUUUAAUUGUGACAAUGCUGGAUUCUCAUGGAAAAUUUGCUUACUGCCAAAGACAUAAAACACUUUAUCCUAGCAGCUAAUAUUUGAAAUCAAGU